UAAGGCAAAUACCCGCUUACAAACACUAUGCUUUCUCAUGCUGUGGCAAGAUUCAAGGAAACUGUCUUAACAAAUGCAAUGUCCUGGGUACAUCUGUUGGUGUGACACAGGUUUGCCCGUCUGUGAGAGGAUAAUGGAGUGGGUGAAGGAUUGUUCUUAGAACUGCCUUGGAGCGUAAGAAAACACAUGGGUCCUGACACGCUGCGGCAUUCCAGGCAUUCAAAGCAAAAGCGCAGGCAGCGCUCUGACAGCAUUUCACAAACUGUCCCAACUUCUUUGGGAUUGGAUUUGUUUAUAAGACAAUAUGACAACUGAUAACUGACGAUCAUGUUCAAAAUGAGGAAGCAGACCCAGAACAUCACCAUAAAUUAGACAGAAUGGUUUUUUUCUGUAACAUUCUCUGGACAGCUGACAGGUGCCUCAUGAAUUUCAACCACAAGCAAAGAUGCUGACUUGGAAAAAGACCCUUGAAGAUGCUGAAAUAAACAUGAGUUUACACCAUGCAGACAUUAAGUGGUUCUUGACGCGUGGAGUGUUGCCUAGCAUAGCAGGGGGUGGACAGACUGGAAUAAGCUUUGCCAGAUUCUUCAAAACUGAGC
This is a long non-coding RNA of Colossoma macropomum (tambaqui), 599 nucleotides long. RefSeq lists it as uncharacterized. The transcript is spliced from 3 exons. The record is from RefSeq and is a predicted model, not a curated record. Lineage: Eukaryota; Metazoa; Chordata; Actinopteri; Characiformes; Serrasalmidae.